GACGAACGCUGGCGGCGUGCUUAACACAUGCAAGUCGAACGAAAAGAGGGAAAGAGCUUGCUCUUUCCGGAAUUGAGUGGCAAACGGGUGAGUAACACGUAAACAACCUGCCUUCAGGAUGGGGACAACAGACGGAAACGACUGCUAAUACCGAAUAAGUUCCAAGGGCCGCAUGGCCCAUGGAAGAAAAGGUGGCCUCUACCUGUAAGCUAUCGCCUGAAGAGGGGUUUGCGUCUGAUUAGCUGGUUGGAGGGGUAACGGCCCACCAAGGCGACGAUCAGUAGACGGUCUGAGAGGAUGAACGGCCACACUGGAAUUGAGACACGGUCCAGACUCCUACGGGAGGCAGCAGUGGGGAAUCUUCCGCAAUGGGCGAAAGCCUGACGGAGCAACGCCGCGUGAGUGAUGACGGCCUUCGGGUUGUAAAACUCUGUGAUCCGGGACGAAAAGGCAGAGUGCGAAGAACAAACUGAAUUGACGGUACCGGAAAAGCAAGCCACGGCUAACUACGUG
RNAcentral lists this ribosomal RNA (513 nucleotides) under uncultured bacterium. RNAcentral describes it as "partial 16S ribosomal RNA". It matches the Rfam family "Bacterial small subunit ribosomal RNA", at positions 28 to 507 of the family's 1533-position model. The record is from RNAcentral.